CUAGGUUAAUGGUGGAGGGAUCUGGCCUUGCUCUAGGUUAAUGGUGGAGGGUUCUGGCCUUGCUCUAGGUUAAUGGUGAGGGAUCUGGCCUUGCUCUAGGUUAAUGGUGGAGGGAUCUGGCCUUGCUCUAGGUUAAUGGUGGAGGGUUCUGGCCUUGCUCUAGGUUAAUGGUGGAGGGAUCUGGCCUUGCUCUAGGUUAAUGGUGGAGGGUUCUGUCCUUGCUCUAGGU
Oncorhynchus keta (chum salmon) is the source of this 229-nucleotide long non-coding RNA. RefSeq lists it as uncharacterized. The transcript is spliced from 3 exons. The record is from RefSeq and is a predicted model, not a curated record. NCBI's taxonomy places the organism in Eukaryota, Metazoa, Chordata, Actinopteri, Salmoniformes, Salmonidae.